This 499-nucleotide ribosomal RNA is filed under the name uncultured bacterium. RNAcentral describes it as "bacterial SSU rRNA". It matches the Rfam family "Bacterial small subunit ribosomal RNA", at positions 791 to 1296 of the family's 1533-position model. The record is from RNAcentral.
UAGUCCACGCUGUAAACGAUGAUUACUCGGUGCUAGCAACAUACUGUUAGUGCCUAAGCGAAAGCGAUAAGUAAUCCACCUGGGGAGUACGGUCGCAAGAUUGAAACUUAAAGGAAUUGACGGGGGCCCGCACAAGCGGUGGAGCAUGUGGUUUAAUUCGAUGAUACGCGAGGAACCUCACCUGGGCUUAAAUGUAGACUGACGGUUCUGGAAACAGUUCCUUCUUCGGACAGUCUACAAGGUGCUGCAUGGUUGUCGUCAGCUCGUGCUGUGAGGUGUCGGGUUAAGUCCCAUAACGAGCGCAACCCCUAUCCUUAGUUGCCAGCGAGUAAUGUCGGGGACUCUAGGGAAACUGCCGGUGCAAACCGUGAGGAAGGUGGGGAUGACGUCAAAUCAUCACGGCCCUUACGUCCAGGGCUACACACGUGCUACAAUGGCGCAUACAAAGGGCAGCUACAUGGUGACAUGAUGCUAAUCUCUAAAGUGCGUCUCAGUUCGG